UACGAAGGGGGCUAGCGUUGCUCGGAAUCACUGGGCGUAAAGCGCACGUAGGCGGAUUGUUAAGUCAGGGGUGAAAUCCUGGAGCUCAACUCCAGAACUGCCUUUGAUACUGGCGAUCUCGAGUCCGGGAGAGGUGAGUGGAACUGCGAGUGUAGAGGUGAAAUUCGUAGAUAUUCGCAAGAACACCAGUGGCGAAGGCGGCUCACUGGCCCGGUACUGACGCUGAGGUGCGAAAGCGUGGGUAGCAAACAGG
This 253-nucleotide ribosomal RNA is filed under the name uncultured bacterium. RNAcentral describes it as "partial 16S ribosomal RNA". It matches the Rfam family "Bacterial small subunit ribosomal RNA", at positions 524 to 776 of the family's 1533-position model. The record is from RNAcentral.